Molecule: long non-coding RNA, 199 nt
Organism: Saccostrea echinata
Lineage: Eukaryota; Metazoa; Mollusca; Bivalvia; Ostreida; Ostreidae
Exons: 3
Source: RefSeq, a predicted model, not a curated record
UUAAAGGCGUGAUGGAUAUAUCAACUAUGUACCGCUAUCUGUGGAUGUUUCCUUUCUUUUAUUCAAUCUACAGUGAAAAGAUACCAGUUGUUAAACCUUAUGAGAAGGGCCAAUUCAUAAGAUUGGACUGCACUGUUAAUACUGUUUCAGAGGCAAUUUGGCAGAAAGAAGGACAAACGGUAACAUUUGGUAAUAUGGU